This 580-nucleotide ribosomal RNA is filed under the name uncultured bacterium. RNAcentral describes it as "bacterial SSU rRNA". It matches the Rfam family "Bacterial small subunit ribosomal RNA", at positions 324 to 918 of the family's 1533-position model. The record is from RNAcentral.
GCGGGAAUUCGAUUCCUACGGGAGGCAGCAGCGAGGAAUCUUCCACAAUGGGCGCAAGCCCGAUGGAGCAACGCCGCGUGGAGGACGACGGCCUUCGGGUUGUAAACUCCUUUCGGAAGGGAUGAAACGGACAGUACCUUCAGAAGAAGCCCCGGCUAACCCUGUGCCAGCAGCCGCGGUAAUACAGGGGGGGCAAGCGUUGUCCGGAAUUACUGGGCGUACAGCGCGCGCAGGCGGUCCACGACGUGCCAUGUGACAGACGUCGGCUUAACCGACGUAGGCCAAGGUAGACGCGUGAACUGGAGGCAGAGAGAGGGAUGUGGAAUACCCGGUGGAGCGGUGAAAUGCGUAGAGAUCGGGCGGAACACCAGCGGCGAAGGCGGCAUCCUGGUCCUGUACUGACGCUGAGGCGCGAGAGCGUGGGGAGCGAACUGGAUUAGAUACCCAGGUAGUCCACGCCGUAAACGAUGUGUACCCGGCGCUGGGCAGUGAUUGCGCUGCUCGGUGCCUCAGCUUACGCAGUGAGUACACCGCCUGGGGACUACGGCCGCGAGGCUAAAACUCAAAGGAAUUGACGGAA